This is a long non-coding RNA of Hypanus sabinus (Atlantic stingray), 1220 nucleotides long. RefSeq lists it as uncharacterized. The record is from RefSeq and is a predicted model, not a curated record. The transcript has 4 exons. NCBI's taxonomy places the organism in Eukaryota, Metazoa, Chordata, Chondrichthyes, Myliobatiformes, Dasyatidae.
GAGGUAUUUCAAAAUGAAGGCUCAUACUGUACUACAGAACUCAGCUAGUAAUUUAUUUUUAAAAAACAAUGAAACAUGGCCAGAAACCUGGGCCACUAACCUAUUUGCAAUCAUUGGUUAAUUUUUGUGUGAUUUGGCAUCAUUGGCAAUAGGUCCAGCAUUCAUUGCCCAUGAGAAGUUAGUGCUGAGUCUCCUUCCUGGGCGAACUGCUGCAGUCGUUAUGAUCAAGAUUUUGUGGAUUACCUUUUGGAGAUUCAAAAUAACAAAAAAGAAAAAGGUCCCGAAGCAAAAGUUUGGGCACCCUGCAUGAUGGUGUGAUGUUUGUGUAACCCCCUGGGUCGCCUCAGGCUCGCUCAGCUCGUUCUCGUCUAGGGGGAGCAGCCUUUGGCCCCGCCAAACUGGGUAAUCAGCUGGUGUGGAUGCUGUGUGAUGUCCCCGCCUCACCCAAAAACAGACAGUACACCAUAAGCGAUUAAAUGAGUACUAUUUAUAAAGUUGUCAUUACCCAGCUAUAUGAAGGAUGACAUUAAACUGGAAAGGAUACAGAAGAGAUUGACAAGGACAGAGUCACGGAAAAAUACAGCACAGAAACAAGCCCUUUGGUUCAUCUAGUCCAGGGGUCGGCAACGUUUACCACUGAAAGAGCCAAUAUGGACCCAUUUCCCACAGAAAAGAAAACACUGGGAGCCACAAAAUGAAAUAACACUGCAUACAACGGUUUUUUUUUGCCUUUAUGCUAUGUAUAAACAAACUAUAAUGUGUUGCAUUUAUGAAAUUGAUAAACUCCUGCAGAGAAAACGAAAUUACAUUUCUGCAUGCAACAAAAACAUUUUGAACUCCGAAAAAAAGACGUUGGGUUGAAGGUUACUCCAUAGUUAGCCUACCUUGGAUCGAAGAAUUAAAAGAAAGCGCGCACUGGCGGGUGUCAGGCAUUGGCAGUUGUGAUGUAUAUUAAUAGCGAUAAAAAAAACACGUUGUAGCGGUGUGCUAAAAUAAAGACUGCAGUCAAAGGUAACUUUAUUCGAACUAAACAGCCUUGCUUUAAAGCCUCCCUCAACCCGUCCCCGUGGGCGCGGAUGCUCCAAAAGACACGUACUCACAAACCCCCAUAGGCUAUCUCCCUUAGCCGGAACGGUGGCUAAUUGUGAGCCGGUUCAGAUGUGCCAGGAAAUGGUGUCUCCACAAAGUUUUUAGAUUGUACAAGAUCACCAUAAUCUUCA